This 316-nucleotide long non-coding RNA is filed under the name Ananas comosus (pineapple). RNAcentral's name for it is "long non-coding RNA (ACOM_LNC035484)". Lineage: Eukaryota; Viridiplantae; Streptophyta; Magnoliopsida; Poales; Bromeliaceae. The record is from RNAcentral.
UUGUUCUUUGUUCUUUAUUCUUUGUUCUUUAAUCUCACGGCUAACCCGGGGGUUUCGCCACAUUAACUUGCUUCACAUUAAGUCCAUCAUCGCGGGCCCUCAGCUUCCUCCCGCUAAGACCGUCCUCGGGUUUACUCUAACCCGUGAUGCUAAAACUCCGGAGCGCAUCGCCCGAGGGGGAGCGACCGCCCUCGAGCACGGAACUCAUAGCAAGUAUGAUCGAAUCCUUAACUCUAAGGAUUAUAAGUUCAAUCAUGUCAUUACACUAACUCUAGUGUUCUUUUCAUCACUUUAUGUUGCUACUCUAGCAAUCAUG